GAUGAACGCUGGCGGCGUGCCUAAUACAUGCAAGUCGAGCGAACGGACGAGAAGCUUGCUUCUCUGAUGUUAGCGGCGGACGGGUGAGUAACACGUGGAUAACCUACCUAUAAGACUGGGAUAACUUCGGGAAACCGGAGCUAAUACCGGAUAAUAUUUUGAACCGCAUGGUUCAAAAGUGAAAGACGGUCUUGCUGUCACUUAUAGAUGGAUCCGCGCUGCAUUAGCUAGUUGGUAAGGUAACGGCUUACCAAGGCAACGAUGCAUAGCCGACCUGAGAGGGUGAUCGGCCACACUGGAACUGAGACACGGUCCAGACUCCUACGGGAGGCAGCAGUAGGGAAUCUUCCGCAAUGGGCGAAAGCCUGACGGAGCAACGCCGCGUGAGUGAUGAAGGUCUUCGGAUCGUAAAACUCUGUUAUUAGGGAAGAACAUAUGUGUAAGUAACUGUGCACAUCUUGACGGUACCUAAUCAGAAAGCCACGGCUAACUACGUGCCAGCAGCCGCGGUAAUACGUAGGUGGCAAGCGUUAUCCGGAAUUAUUGGGCGUAAAGCGCGCGUAGGCGGUUUUUUAAGUCUGAUGUGAAAGCCCACGGCUCAACCGUGGAGGGUCAUUGGAAACUGGAAAACUUGAGUGCAGAAGAGGAAAGUGGAAUUCCAUGUGUAGCGGUGAAAUGCGCAGAGAUAUGGAGGAACACCAGUGGCGAAGGCGACUUUCUGGUCUGUAACUGACGCUGAUGUGCGAAAGCGUGGGGAUCAAACAGGAUUAGAUACCCUGGUAGUCCACGCCGUAAACGAUGAGUGCUAAGUGUUAGGGGGUUUCCGCCCCUUAGUGCUGCAGCUAACGCAUUAAGCACUCCGCCUGGGGAGUACGACCGCAAGGUUGAAACUCAAAGGAAUUGACGGGGACCCGCACAAGCGGUGGAGCAUGUGGUUUAAUUCGAAGCAACGCGAAGAACCUUACUAAAUCUUGACAUCCUUUGACAACUCUAGAGAUAGAGCUUUCCCCUUCGGGGGACAAAGUGACAGGUGGUGCAUGGUUGUCGUCGGCUCGUGUCGUGAGAUGUUGGGUUAAGUCCCGCAACGAGCGCAACCCUUAAGCUUAGUUGCCAUCAUUAAGUUGGGCACUCUAAGCUGACUGCCGGUGACAAACCGGAGGAAGGUGGGGAUGACGUCAAAUCAUCAUGCCCCUUAUGAUUUGGGCUACACACGUGCUACAAUGGACAAUACAAAGGGCAGCGAAACCGCGAGGUCAAGCAAAUCCCAUAAAGUUGUUCUCAGUUCGGAUUGUAGUCUGCAACUCGACUACAUGAAGCUGGAAUCGCUAGUAAUCGUAGAUCAGCAUGCUACGGUGAAUACGUUCCCGGGUCU
This 1372-nucleotide ribosomal RNA is filed under the name uncultured bacterium. RNAcentral's name for it is "bacterial SSU rRNA". It matches the Rfam family "Bacterial small subunit ribosomal RNA", at positions 28 to 1381 of the family's 1533-position model. The record is from RNAcentral.